RNAcentral lists this transfer RNA (72 nucleotides) under Monodelphis domestica (gray short-tailed opossum). It matches the Rfam family "tRNA". Rfam says of the family: Transfer RNA (tRNA) molecules are approximately 80 nucleotides in length. Their secondary structure includes four short double-helical elements and three loops (D, anti-codon, and T loops). Further hydrogen bonds mediate the characteristic L-shaped molecular structure. tRNAs have two regions of fundamental functional importance: the anti-codon, which is responsible for specific mRNA codon recognition, and the 3' end, to which the tRNAs corresponding amino acid is attached (by aminoacyl-tRNA synthetases). tRNAs cope with the degeneracy of the genetic code in two manners: having more than one tRNA (with a specific anti-codon) for a particular amino acid; and 'wobble' base-pairing, i.e. permitting non-standard base-pairing at the 3rd anti-codon position. The record is from Rfam by way of RNAcentral. Lineage: Eukaryota; Metazoa; Chordata; Mammalia; Didelphimorphia; Didelphidae.
ACUCUUUAGUGCAGUAGGCAGCGCAUCAGUCUUGAAAGCUGAAGGCCCCUAGUUCGAUCCUGGGAAAGAGGG